GACGAACGCUGGCGGCGUGCCUAAUACAUGCAAGUCGAGCGAAGUUUUUCUGGUGCUUGCACUAGAAAACUUAGCGGCGAACGGGUGAGUAACACGUAAAGAACCUGCCUCAUAGACUGGGACAACUAUUGGAAACGAUAGCUAAUACCGGAUAACAGCAUUAACUGCAUGGUUGAUGUUUGAAAGUUGGUUUUGCUAACACUAUGAGAUGGCUUUGCGGUGCAUUAGCUAGUUGGUGGGGUAAAGGCCUACCAAGGCGACGAUGCAUAGCCGACCUGAGAGGGUGAUCGGCCACACUGGGACUGAGACACGGCCCAG
RNAcentral lists this ribosomal RNA (318 nucleotides) under uncultured bacterium. Its description in RNAcentral is "bacterial SSU rRNA". It matches the Rfam family "Bacterial small subunit ribosomal RNA", at positions 28 to 334 of the family's 1533-position model. The record is from RNAcentral.